GACGAAAGUCUGACGGAGCAACGCCGCGUGAGUGAUGACGGCCUUCGGGUUGUAAAGCUCUGUUAAUCGGGACGAAAGGCCUUCUUGCGAAUAGUUAGAAGGAUUGACGGUACCGGAAUAGAAAGCCACGGCUAACUACGUGCCAGCAGCCGCGGUAAUACGUAGGUGGCAAGCGUUGUCCGGAAUUAUUGGGCGUAAAGCGCGCGCAGGCGGAUAGGUCAGUCUGUCUUAAAAGUUCGGGGCUUAACCCCGUGAUGGGAUGGAAACUGCCAAUCUAGAGUAUCGGAGAGGAAAGUGGAAUUCCUAGUGUAGCGGUGAAAUGCGUAGAUAUUAGGAAGAACACCAGUGGCGAAGGCGACUUUCUGGACGAAAACUGACGCUGAGGCGCGAAAGCCAGGGGAGCGAACGGGAUUAGAUACCCCGGUAGUCCUGGCCGUAAACGAUGGGUACUAGGUGUAGGAGGUAUCGACCCCUUCUGUGCCGGAGUGAACGCAAUAAGUACCCCGCCUGGGGAGUACGACCGCAAGGUUGAAACUCAAAGGAAUUGACGGGGGCCCGCACAAGCGGUGGAGUAUGUGGUUUAAUUCGACGCAACGCGAAGAACCU
This 606-nucleotide ribosomal RNA is filed under the name Veillonella dispar. Its description in RNAcentral is "bacterial SSU rRNA". It matches the Rfam family "Bacterial small subunit ribosomal RNA", at positions 374 to 971 of the family's 1533-position model. The record is from RNAcentral. Lineage: Bacteria; Bacillati; Bacillota; Negativicutes; Veillonellales; Veillonellaceae.